CUGCUGCCUUCCGUAGGAGUCUGGGCCGUGUCUCAGUCCCAAUGUGGCCGAUCAACCUCUCAGUCCGGCUACCGAUCGUCGCCUUGGUGGGCCGUUGCCCCACCAACUAGCUAAUCGGCCGCGAGCCCAUCUUCCAGCGGAUUGCUCCUUUGGCUGCAUCGGGAUGCCCCAUCGCAGCGUUAUGCGGUAUUAGCAGUCGUUUCCAACUGUUAUCCCCCUCUGAAAGGCAGGUUGCUCA
Molecule: ribosomal RNA, 238 nt
Filed under: uncultured bacterium
Lineage: Bacteria
Description: partial 16S ribosomal RNA
Source: RNAcentral